This 253-nucleotide ribosomal RNA is filed under the name uncultured bacterium. RNAcentral describes it as "partial 16S ribosomal RNA". It matches the Rfam family "Bacterial small subunit ribosomal RNA", at positions 524 to 776 of the family's 1533-position model. The record is from RNAcentral.
UACGUAGGGUGCAAGCGUUAAUCGGAAUCACUGGGCGUAAAGGGCGCGUAGGCGGCUCAUGAAGGCUGUGGUGAAAGUCCGGGGCUCAACCUCGGAUCGGCCGUGGCGACUCGUGGGCUGGAGCACUGUAGAGGCGGGUGGAAUUCCGGGUGUAGCGGUGGAAUGCGUAGAGAUCCGGAAGAACACCAGUGGCGAAGGCGGCCCGCUGGGCAGUGGCUGACGCUGAGGCGCGACAGCGUGGGGAGCAAACAGG